AGUUUGAUCCUGGCUCAAGAUGAACGCUGGCGGCGUGCUUAACACAUGCAAGUCAAACGAAGCACUUUAUUUGAUUUCCUUCGGGACUGAUUAUUUUGUGACUGAGUGGCGGACGGGUGAGUAACGCGUGGGUAACCUGCCUUGUACAGGGGGAUAACAGUUGGAAACGGCUGCUAAUACCGCAUAAGCGCACAACAUCGCAUGAUGCAGUGUGAAAAACUCCGGUGGUAUAAGAUGGACCCGCGUUGGAUUACCUAGUUGGUGAGGUAACGGCCCACCAAGGCGACGAUCCAUAGCCGACCUGAGAGGGUGACCGGCCACAUUGGGACUGAGACACGGCCCAAACUCCUACGGGAGGCAGCAGUGGGGAAUAUUGCACAAUGGGCGAAAGCCUGAUGCAGCGACGCCGCGUGAGCGAAGAAGUAUUUCGGUAUGUAAAGCUCUAUCAGCAGGGAAGAUAAUGACGGUACCUGACUAAGAAGCACCGGCUAAAUACGUGCCAGCAGCCGCGGUAAUACGUAUGGUGCAAGCGUUAUCCGGAUUUACUGGGUGUAAAGGGAGCGCAGGCGGUGCGGCAAGUCUGAUGUGAAAGCCCGGGGCUCAACCCCGGUACUGCAUUGGAAACUGUCGUACUAGAGUGUCGGAGGGGUAAGCGGAAUUCCUAGUGUAGCGGUGAAAUGCGUAGAUAUUAGGAGGAACACCAGUGGCGAAGGCGGCUUACUGGACGAUAACUGACGCUGAGGCUCGAAAGCGUGGGGAGCAAACAAGAUUAGAUACCCUGGUAGUCCACGCCGUAAACGAUAAAAAAGGGUGUGGGAAGCAUUGCUUCUCGGGCCGUCGCAAACGCAGUAAGUAUUUCCCCUGCGGAGUACGUUUGCAAGAAGGAAACUCAAAGGAAUUGACGGGGACCCGCACAAGCGGUGGAGCAUGUGGUUUAAUUUGAAGCAACGCGAAGAACCUUACCAAGUCUUGACAUCCUUCUGACCGGUACUUAACCGUACCUUCUUUUUGGAGCAGGAGUGACAGGAGGUGCAUGGUUGUCGUCAGCUCGUGUCGUGAGAUGUUGGGUGAAGUCCCGCAACGAGCGCAACCCUUAUCUUUAGUAGCCAGCGGUUCGGCCGGGCACUCUAGAGAGACUGCCAGGGAUAACAUGGAGGAAGGCGGGGAGGACGUCAAAUCAUCAUGCCCCCUAUGACUUGGGCUACACACGUGCUACAAUGGCGUAAACAAAGGGAAGCGAAGCUGUGAAGCCGAGCAAAUAUCAAAAAUAACGUCUCAGUUCGGACGGUAGUCUGCAACCCGACUACACGAAGCGGGAAUCGCUAGUAAUCGCAGAUCAGAAUGAUGCGGUGAAUA
RNAcentral lists this ribosomal RNA (1356 nucleotides) under uncultured bacterium. RNAcentral describes it as "16S ribosomal RNA". It matches the Rfam family "Bacterial small subunit ribosomal RNA", at positions 10 to 1368 of the family's 1533-position model. The record is from RNAcentral.